RNAcentral lists this ribosomal RNA (377 nucleotides) under uncultured eukaryote. RNAcentral's name for it is "partial 18S ribosomal RNA". It matches the Rfam family "Eukaryotic small subunit ribosomal RNA", at positions 592 to 976 of the family's 1831-position model. The record is from RNAcentral.
CAAUAGCGUAUAUUAAAGUUGUUGCAGUUAAAAAGCUCGUAGUUGGAUUUCGGGGCAGCCUGGCUGGUCCGCCGCAAGGCGAGUACUGGUCAGCCGCCCUUCCUCUCGAAAGCCCCGACUGCUCUUUAUUGCAGUGGUGGGGUAGUUCGGGACGUUUACUUUGAAAAAAUUAGAGUGUUCAAGGCAGGCCUACGCCUGAAUACAUUAGCAUGGAAUAAUGGAAGAGGACCUCGGUCCUAUUUUGUUGGUUUCCAGGACCGAAGUAAUGAUUAAGAGGGACAGUUGGGGGCAUUCGUAUUUAAUUGUCAGAGGUGAAAUUCUCGGAUUUAUGAAAGACGAACAACUGCGAAAGCAUUUGCCAAGGAUGUUUUCAUUAA